Molecule: long non-coding RNA, 649 nt
Organism: Phyllopteryx taeniolatus (common seadragon)
Lineage: Eukaryota; Metazoa; Chordata; Actinopteri; Syngnathiformes; Syngnathidae
Exons: 5
Source: RefSeq, a predicted model, not a curated record
GUCGUGCAGGCCAGACGUGCAAGCCUCCAGCAGGGCCAGCAGCAGCGUGGAGCAUUGGCAGGAGAGGCAGGCCAGCAGCAGGCCAACCGGUGAUGGCGGUGUCUCAUGGCCCCAGCACAUGUCGUACGAGGGGGUCCUUCCUGCAGCGGGGCGCCGACGGGGGCCAGAAGGUGAGGAGGACUCGGCGAGGGCGAGUUGCAGGUGACCGAGCUGGACUGCAAGUGAACAAAAGAGCGUGUGAGGACGGCGGCGUGACGGAACGAUUGGAUUGGCCUCCUUUGAGACAUCAGCGCACGCAAGCUACCUGCGGACAGAGCGGGUCGACUGACGUGUCUCGUGGGGUCAAAUGCGAUCCUGUGGGUGCAGAGUUGGAUUCUGCAGUGGGCGUCAGCUGAAGAAAUAAUUUACCUGCAGAGGAACAGACUGACUGCUGAUGCUGAAAAUGAAGAUGCUGUUGGAUGUGCAGGAGCUGCUGGAGCGCCAGCUGCUGUGCGAGGAGCUGACAGACAAGACCAUGUGGAUACCUGGUGGAGGAUGAGGGCCUGCUGUUUGUGCUGCAUCAGAGCUUGCAGCUGACCGGAGGACAGAGUCCGCGUCACCUGACGAGGAGCCGCCAUGGCGAGGGAGACCUUGACGAGAACGAGUGCGG